UUGAUCCUGGCUCAGGAUGAACGCUGGCGGUAUGCUUAACACAUGCAAGUCGAACGGGAUGCUUAGGCAUCUAGUGGCGGACGGGUGAGUAACGCGUGAGAAUCUGGCUCCAGGUCGGGGAUAACAGUUGGAAACGACUGCUAAUACCGGAUGUGCCGAAAGGUGAAAGAUUUAUUGCCUGGAGAUGAGCUCGCGUCUGAUUAGCUAGUUGGUGGUGUAAGGGACCACCAAGGCGUCGAUCAGUAGCUGGUCUGAGAGGAUGAUCAGCCACACUGGGACUGAGACACGGCCCAGACUCCUACGGGAGGCAGCAGUGGGGAAUUUUCCGCAAUGGGCGAAAGCCUGACGGAGCAAUACCGCGUGAGGGAGGAAGGCUCUUGGGUCGUAAACCUCUUUUCUCAAGGAAGAAGAAAGUGACGGUACUUGAGGAAUAAGCAUCGGCUAACUCCGUGCCAGCAGCCGCGGUAAUACGGAGGAUGCAAGCGUUAUCCGGAAUGAUUGGGCGUAAAGGGUCUGCAGGUGGAACUGAAAGUCUGCUGUUAAAGAGUUUGGCUUAACCAAAUAAAAGCGGUGGAAACUACAGAACUAGAGUGCGGUAGGGGCAAAAGGAAUUCCUGGUGUAGCGGUGAAAUGCGUAGAUAUCAGGAAGAACACCGGUGGCGAAAGCGUUUUGCUAGACCGUAACUGACACUGAGGGACGAAAGCUAGGGGAGCGAAUGGGAUUAGAUACCCCAGUAGUCCUAGCCGUAAACGAUGGAUACUAGGCGUGGCUUGUAUCGACCCGAGCCGUGCCGGAGCUAACGCGUUAAGUAUCCCGCCUGGGGAGUACGCACGCAAGUGUGAAACUCAAAGGAAUUGACGGGGGCCCGCACAAGCGGUGGAGUAUGUGGUUUAAUUCGAUGCAACGCGAAGAACCUUACCAAGACUUGACAUCCUGCGAAUCCUGGUGAAAGCUGGGAGUGCCUUAGGGAGCGCAGAGACAGGUGGUGCAUGGCUGUCGUCAGCUCGUGUCGUGAGAUGUUGGGUUAAGUCCCGCAACGAGCGCAACCCUCGUUUUUAGUUGCCAGCAUUAAGUUGGGCACUCUAGAGAGACUGCCGGUGACAAACCGGAGGAAGGUGAGGAUGACGUCAAGUCAGCAUGCCCCUUACGUCUUGGGCUACACACGUACUACAAUGCUACGGACAGAGGGCAGCGAGCCAGGGAUGGCAAGCGAAUCCAGAAACCGUAGCUCAGUUCAGAUCGAAGGCUGCAACUCGCCUUCGUGAAGGAGGAAUCGCUAGUAAUUGCAGGUCAGCAUACUGCAGUGAAUUCGUUCCCGGGCCUUGUACACACCGCCCGUCACACCAUGGAAGUUGGUCACGCCCGAAGUCAUUACCCCAACCGAAAGGAGGGGGAUGCCUAAGGUAGGACUA
RNAcentral lists this ribosomal RNA (1413 nucleotides) under Cylindrospermopsis sp. CHAB2132. Its description in RNAcentral is "bacterial SSU rRNA". It matches the Rfam family "Bacterial small subunit ribosomal RNA". The record is from RNAcentral. Lineage: Bacteria; Bacillati; Cyanobacteriota; Cyanophyceae; Nostocales; Aphanizomenonaceae.